GAAAUAUGACCGGCGUGUGUAAGCUCGUGGAGAUAAUAAACUGACUCAAAUGGAGCUUAUUUCACUGCACUGUAGCCUGGUCAGAGGGUGUUGUGAAUACUUUGAUACAAUGUUGUGGAAAACUGACUUAGAUGAGUAUUUUAAAGUAAGCUGCUCCUACUCGUACAGUGUCUUAUUCCGUGGUUUGGUAUCUUCCAUGCUCUUAUAAUUGAAGAACAUUUAGAUGGCAUUGUUAUCAAUUUCCCACCAUAAUGAUUUUUUAAAAUGAUUCAGUUGCAAUUUUUUUUAAAUUGAUUUCUCGACUGUAAAAUUUUUCCGUACUCUUGGAAAUUUACCAUAUUUGUUUGUGUUUAGCUAUGAUUAGUCAUUCUAUAGUUACGUCUAACUUUUCUCGUCAAAAAUAUUUACUAUUUUGUUCAUAGAGUUUUGUUUAUUUAUCGGCACAAAAUGUUAGAUUAGGGAACUCAUGAUGACUCAAGUUGUUUUGUUUAUGAUUUAUCUCUGAUGAGGCAGUAGAGUAAAUUGUAUCACCAUCAUGCCCGAAACAAUCACAAUGGGCUCGAUUUUUGAAUUUUGAAUAAUUUGAAACCAUAUGUAAAGAAAGGGUCAUUUCCACAUGUCGGACAUUAUAACAUAAUUUUGCAUUUAAUGCUGAGAUUCAUUCUACAUUUAUCAUUCAUCUAAAUUCAUCUACAGGAGAGGUUUUCAGUCUUUUCGGCUCGCGGAGCAUUUUUUGAAAUAAAAUUGUUGCACGGAGCACCUGUCCUUCAUCAUCACUCCGUUCGAAAUCACAAUUUUUUAUACGCUUAAAUCGACAAUAUAAUUCCUACGAAAACCGUGAAGUAAGAUUUAUGUUAGUCAAUCUUUCAUUGUUUCGAUUUUAUUUUUAAAUUUUCAUUCCAAUUUAAAAAAGAUAUGUUUUGUUGUACAAACUUUUUAAAGGUUAAAUUAUGACAAAUGCAAAGGAGGGUAAGUGACAUUUUGAGUUAAGUUGACUGCAAAAUUUUACUAUUUCCAAGCUUUCCAAUGGUAUGCUUCUAUUCUUAGAAGAUUGCUUGCUACAUUUUUAUGAAAUAAAUUUUUACAAUUUUUCUCAUUUUUUUCAAUUUGAUUUCUUUAAGACUUUUUGACACUCACAUCCCUUUGCUUCUAACCCCUUAUUUGGUUUUCAUCAAUUUUUUUGUUUAAGCUUUCAUUGAUGUGUCUGAAUGGAUUAACCACAAGUUCAGCACUUUCGCAAUUAUUCAUAAUUUAGAUGAAACUCAAACUCUUUUAAAAUUUUUCAAUUACAACAUAUUAGCCCACAUGCCGAACGUAUUUAUAAAAAUAUCCGAGGCACAUGAUAGUUCAAUAAUGAUCAAGAUUUUGACAAAUAAAGAGAACAAAACAGCUGUCUUAAAUGAAAAUUCUAUCGAUAAGUCGCAUCCAAUUACGUUACUAACCGAUUCAAUUUUCAGCGCGAUCGGUUGUUUUGUUCUUUAAAUUUAUUGUCUUGAAAAUCAUAGAUAUGAAUUACAUAACUAAAAGCGUAUUUCAAAGCAAAAAGUUGAGAAAUUUCAAGGAAUUUAUACAGAUUUUCAAAACUGUCGCGGAACACCUGCCAAGGCUUUGUGGAGCACGAUAUGAAAACCGCUGAUCUAGAAGAUUUCAACACUAUUAUUGUAAGCUCGCUAAAGUUAAACAUAUUGCUCCGCAUGACAAAUCAACUAAAAAUACUGUCCUAACGAAAAUCAUUUUUUUUACUUACGAAAAAUGAAACGGAUAUCACACCUUAACGUUUUUUUUUACCAAUGGUUCUCAAUCUUUUAGAAGUUACGAUCCUUUUCGAAGGUGUACAAUAAACCCACAUACUUCUGAAAAUGAAUGUUUUAAAAGCCGAAAUUUAUGGAAAAGAAGAAUUUGAUCAUGUUAUUAUCAAUCAAUCGGAUAUUCUCAAUAUUGCCAUGAAUAAGAACCAAACUAAAAUGUCUCAAAUCGCUACAACUCCUCAGACAAUACUACAACUCCUAUCACAACCUUUCUUAAAUAAAGGAUCUCGGAAAUAAUCUGUCAAUGAUAAUGCCAGGCACCUAACAAAAUCUAGAAAAUAACCUGUUUGGAAGAUCAGGAGAAAUCUGCCAAAGAACUAAAUAUGGAUCGACAGACAUGAUUGGCAGUAACUAUCAUGGAUCACGUCUGCAACUCUCAACAGUAUGGAGGGGUCUUCUGCCUGGUGAAUCAUUAGAAAAAAAAUUUACAAGCUCUAAAUGAUUCUCAGGUGUCCUGAGGUAUUUCUUGAGAAUUUCAUUAGAGAUCAGCGAAGAUUUUUCCAAGACGUUUUCCAAUGUUACUGUGAAGUAGAUAUUCACCAAACCAAGCAUUGUCUUUGGACAUUAAAGAUACUAAGGAUUACAACAACAUCUUUAAGAGGAUUUCGCUAAUAGAUUGACUGGAAUCAGUGGAGAAUUUUUGAAAUUCGAGAAAAUUUCGAAAAAUUUCUCAGGAUUAUCCCAGAAAAGUAGUGACAAAGUUCUCUAGAAUAAUCUGACAAGGAUUAGCCAAACAUAUGCACCUAGGAGUCGAAUUGCGCGAGUCUUUUGGGGUUAGAAAUUGUUUCGACUUUCCGGAGAAUAAAACAUAUUUGUACUUGAUACUCAUUUAAUAUUAACAGCAAUAAGCCAGUCUCUGUCCAAUUGAAACCCAACUUCAACUUCAAAGAUUUAUUGGAUUCUAGAUACUGUUGGAGGGAUUAGUUAAAAAAAAUCUGUGAGAUCACUAGAAAAAUUUAUGGACGCUGCCUAAGGAUUGGGUUUAGAUGUUGAUCCCAUAUACAGCCAUCUCUCCAUAACUCGAUAUUACGUAUCUCGAUAUUGAUUUAGAGAACCAUAGUAGAAGAAAACCAACUUCUACCUCGAUGGUCCCUUGGAGCGCAUUUGCACUGGUUUUGUGUUCUAGUACCCCACUCGAUGAUUUAUUUUAGAACUAAACAGUGCAAAGCAAGGCCAUAAAACACAAAUAAUGGUCUUCGAAGGAGCCCAUAUAAAAUUUUUUAUAGAUUAGAAAAAUUGUGUUUAAUUUUACAUAC
Molecule: long non-coding RNA, 3064 nt
Organism: Aedes aegypti (yellow fever mosquito)
Lineage: Eukaryota; Metazoa; Arthropoda; Insecta; Diptera; Culicidae
Exons: 2
Source: RefSeq, a predicted model, not a curated record